ACUACUCCUAUCAGGAGGGGAUAACCCGGCGAAAGUCGGACUAAUACCGCAUGAAGCAGGGGCCCCGCAUGGGGAUAUUUGCUAAAGAUUCAUCGCUGAUAGAUAGGCAUGCGUUCCAUUAGGCAGUUGGCGGGGUAACGGCCCACCAAACCGACGAUGGAUAGGGGUUCUGAGAGGAAGGUCCCCCACAUUGGACUGAGACACGGCCAA
This 210-nucleotide ribosomal RNA is filed under the name uncultured bacterium. RNAcentral describes it as "partial 16S ribosomal RNA". It matches the Rfam family "Bacterial small subunit ribosomal RNA", at positions 124 to 334 of the family's 1533-position model. The record is from RNAcentral.